UGGGGAAUCUUCCGCAAUGGACGAAAGUCUGACGGAGCAACGCCGCGUGAGUGAAGAAGGUUUUCGGAUCGUAAAACUCUGUCUUUUGGGGGCGAACGUGAGUAUGGUGAACAAUCAUAGUCAGUGACGGUACCAAAGGAGGAAGCCACGGCUAACUACGUGCCAGCAGCCGCGGUAAUACGUAGGUGGCAAGCGUUGUCCGGAAUUAUUGGGCGUAAAGAGCGCGUAGGCGGGAUAGUCAGUCUGUUGUAAAGUGCGGGGCUCAACCCCGUGAUCGCAAUGGAAACAGCUAUUCUUGAGUGCAGGAGAGGAAAGUGGAAUUCCCAGUGUAGCGGUGAAAUGCGUAGAUAUUGGGAGGAACACCAGUGGCGAAGGCGACUUUCUGGACUGUGUCUGACGCUGAGGCGCGAAAGCCAGGGGAGCGAACGGGAUUAGAUACCCCGGUAGUCCUGGCCGUAAACGAUGGGUACUAGGUGUGGGAGGUAUCGACCCCUUGCCGUGCCGGAGUUAACGCAAUAAGUACCCCG
RNAcentral lists this ribosomal RNA (527 nucleotides) under uncultured bacterium. RNAcentral's name for it is "partial 16S ribosomal RNA". It matches the Rfam family "Bacterial small subunit ribosomal RNA", at positions 355 to 871 of the family's 1533-position model. The record is from RNAcentral.